This 86-nucleotide transfer RNA is filed under the name Orobanche austrohispanica. RNAcentral describes it as "tRNA-Ser". It matches the Rfam family "tRNA". Rfam says of the family: Transfer RNA (tRNA) molecules are approximately 80 nucleotides in length. Their secondary structure includes four short double-helical elements and three loops (D, anti-codon, and T loops). Further hydrogen bonds mediate the characteristic L-shaped molecular structure. tRNAs have two regions of fundamental functional importance: the anti-codon, which is responsible for specific mRNA codon recognition, and the 3' end, to which the tRNAs corresponding amino acid is attached (by aminoacyl-tRNA synthetases). tRNAs cope with the degeneracy of the genetic code in two manners: having more than one tRNA (with a specific anti-codon) for a particular amino acid; and 'wobble' base-pairing, i.e. permitting non-standard base-pairing at the 3rd anti-codon position. The record is from RNAcentral. Lineage: Eukaryota; Viridiplantae; Streptophyta; Magnoliopsida; Lamiales; Orobanchaceae.
GGAGAGAUGGCUGAGGGGUUUAAGGCCCCGGUCUUGAAAACCGGUAUAGUAAAGAACUAUCAAGGGUUCGAAUCCCUUUCUCUCCU